GGGGCCGUAGGGUAGCUUGGUCCAUCCUCUCAGCCAUUGAAAGAAGUAUCCAGCCUAGGACGCUGGAGACCCGAGUUCAAAUCUCGGCGGCCCCA
RNAcentral lists this transfer RNA (95 nucleotides) under Methanobacterium spitsbergense. RNAcentral describes it as "tRNA-Pro". It matches the Rfam family "tRNA". From Rfam's summary of the family: Transfer RNA (tRNA) molecules are approximately 80 nucleotides in length. Their secondary structure includes four short double-helical elements and three loops (D, anti-codon, and T loops). The record is from RNAcentral. Lineage: Archaea; Methanobacteriati; Methanobacteriota; Methanobacteria; Methanobacteriales; Methanobacteriaceae.